AAUACGGAGGGUGCAAGCGUUAUCCGGAUUCACUGGGUUUAAAGGGUGCGUAGGUGGGCAGGUAAGUCAGUGGUGAAAUCUCCGGGCUUAACCCGGAAACUGCCAUUGAUACUAUCUGUCUUGAAUACCCUGGAGGUGAGCGGAAUAUGUCAUGUAGCGGUGAAAUGCUUAGAUAUGACAUAGAACACCCAUUGCGAAGGCAGCUCACUACGGGACUAUUGACACUGAGGCACGAAAGCGUGGGGAUCAAACAG
Molecule: ribosomal RNA, 254 nt
Filed under: uncultured prokaryote
Description: partial 16S ribosomal RNA
Rfam family: Bacterial small subunit ribosomal RNA
Source: RNAcentral